UACAGAGGUCUCAAGCGUUGUUCGGAUUCAUUGGGCGUAAAGGGUGCGUAGGUGGCGGGGUAAGUCAGGUGUGAAAUCUCGGGGCUCAACCCCGAAACUGCAUUUGAUACUGCCUUGCUCGAGUACUGGGGAGGAGAUUGGAAUUUACGGUGUAGCAGUGAAAUGCGUAGAUAUCGUAAGGAAGACCAGUGGCGAAGGCGAAUCUCUGGACAGUUACUGACACUGAGGCACGAAGGCCAGGGGAGCAAACGGG
RNAcentral lists this ribosomal RNA (253 nucleotides) under uncultured bacterium. Its description in RNAcentral is "partial 16S ribosomal RNA". It matches the Rfam family "Bacterial small subunit ribosomal RNA", at positions 524 to 776 of the family's 1533-position model. The record is from RNAcentral.